Molecule: non-coding RNA, 219 nt
Organism: Pelobates cultripes (western spadefoot toad)
Lineage: Eukaryota; Metazoa; Chordata; Amphibia; Anura; Pelobatidae
Source: the annotation of a GenBank genome assembly
UCAUGGAGGCUUCCUGUCCAACCCCUUCUCUAUUACUAACGGCACCCGACAGGGAUGCCCCCUCUCGCCCCUUCUAUACAUACUAGCCCUGGAACCCCUAGCGUGCAAAAUCAGAUCCCAUCCAGACAUACAAGGAAUCCCUAUACGAGACAAGAGGUACAGCCUGGCCCUGUUUGCCGACGACAUUUUCGUGGCACUAACAGACCCCACCCGCUCUUU